Molecule: ribosomal RNA, 207 nt
Filed under: uncultured bacterium
Lineage: Bacteria
Description: partial 16S ribosomal RNA
Rfam family: Bacterial small subunit ribosomal RNA
Source: RNAcentral
CGUGUAGGCGGCUUGGUAAGUCUGAUGUGAAAGCCCGGGGCUUAACUCCGGAAGUGCAUUGGAAACUGCCUGGCUUGAGUACGGGAGAGGAAAGUGGAAUUCCGAGUGUAGGGGUGAAAUCCGUAGAUAUUCGGAGGAACACCAGUGGCGAAGGCGGCUUUCUGGACCGAUACUGACGCUGAGACGCGAAAGCGUGGGGAGCAAACA